UACGGAGGGGGCUAGCGUUGUUCGGAAUUACUGGGCGUAAAGCGCACGUAGGCGGAUCAGCCAGUCAGGGGUGAAAUCCCGGGGCUCAACCCCGGAACUGCCUUUGAUACUGCUGGUCUGGAGUUCGGGAGAGGCGAGUGGAAUUCCGAGUGUAGAGGUGAAAUUCGUAGAUAUUCGGAGGAACACCAGUGGCGAAGGCGGCUCGCUGGCCCGAGACUGACGCUGAGGUGCGAAAGCGUGGGGAGCAAACAGGG
Molecule: ribosomal RNA, 254 nt
Filed under: uncultured bacterium
Lineage: Bacteria
Description: partial 16S ribosomal RNA
Rfam family: Bacterial small subunit ribosomal RNA
Source: RNAcentral